GACGAACGCUGGCGGCGUGCUUAACACAUGCAAGUCGAACGGUAAGGCCCUCGGGGUACACAAGUGGCGAACGGGUGAGUAACACGUGGGUGAUCUGCCCUGCACUUCGGGAUAAGCCUGGGAAACUGGGUCUAAUACCGGAUAGGCCCCUGGGAUGCAUGUCCUGGGGUGGAAAGCUUUUGCGGUGUGGGAUGGGCACGCGGCCUUUCAGCUUGUUGGUGGGUUGAGGGCCUACCAAGGCGACGACGGGUAGCCGGCCUGAGAGGGUGACCGGCCACACUGGGACUGAGAUACGGCCCAGACUCCUACGGGAGGCAGCAGUGGGGAUUAUUGCACAAUGGGCGCAAGCCUGAUGCAGCGACGCCGCGUGAGGGAUGACGGCCUUCGGGUUGUAAACCUCUUUCAGCACCGACGAAGCGCAAGUGACGGUAGGUGCAGAAGAAGGACCGGCCAACUACGUGCCAGCAGCCGCCGUAA
RNAcentral lists this ribosomal RNA (477 nucleotides) under uncultured bacterium. RNAcentral describes it as "partial 16S ribosomal RNA". It matches the Rfam family "Bacterial small subunit ribosomal RNA", at positions 28 to 523 of the family's 1533-position model. The record is from RNAcentral.